AAUAGUCUUGAUGUCAGAACAUUUAAUCUCUCCUGGAAUGCAGAAGUGUGGCCCAACAGGAUCUUCUAAGCCUUUGCAACACAAAGUUUGAUUCCCAGCAAGAUAGCAUCAACCUCAUCUGGAGCUUGUUAGAAAUGCAGAAUCUUGGCCCCACCCUAGAACUACUGGAUCAGAAUUUACAUUUUAGCAAGAUCUCCAGGGGAUCUGAAUUUCUGGAAACAAAUGGCUUCCCAAAACCCUCUAAGCCAAGAGUGUGUUGACCUUGGUGAUGCUGACCUUCAGAGAGCAGAGGAUAGAAAGGACCAGCAACUGCCCCACAGGAGGUCAGUAAAAGAGUCACCAUACCCUCUUCCCUAGUUAGAGUACAGAAGGACAAAGCUUGAAUUACACAAAGAAUGGAGAGCUGGGUCUCCUCCAGGGAUGCAGGUCAGGCCAGUGUGGAGCCUGCUGCCUUCAGUUCAGACCCAGCAAUCCCAGUUCAGUCUUUCCCUGAGGAGGAAACAUCGCCCCUAAGGAACUGCUGGCCCACUGGGCAGAAUGCAUUGCCCCAAGCAGCUGGCAUUGCUGUGGGAAGGGAAGAUAUCCAAAAUCUGUUGAGUAUUGACUCUGUUCUGGGCAUUAAGCUAAGCUCUUCACAGACAUAUCUCAUUUAAUCUUCUCAUUAGCACCGUUAUAUAGAAAUUACGAUCUCGGUUUUGCAGAUGAGGAAAAUGUGUCUCAAGGACAUUAAGUAUCCUGUCCAAGGUGACUGCAGCCACUAAGAGGAAAACCCAUCCCAGACUCCCAUUUUGCAGCUCCUUGCUUUGACCCAAGCUCAAGUGUUCAUGCUUUUGGGGGAACUUUUUUCUUAUUCUGAAGGCACUAGAGCUCCUGACAUUAAUGCAAGAACUCGCUUCCCAGUUCCUGAGCUUUCACAGUUGAACAGCCUUCGGUAUCUUUGAAGUCUGAGGUCUGGCUGGGGAUGGAGGUCAGGGAGAGACCAGUCAUGGUGCCCGAGAGUCUGCUGGGAUCACUGCAGAUGCCCCAUUGGUUACCCCACAAGUCCUUGAGGAGUCAGAACUGAACAGAGCCCCUCUCUUGCACUCUUGGGCUCUGAUGUCCAGGGCUCUGAUGGGGUGGCAUCCCUGGGAGGUCCACGUGUGACUCCUCUGGCUCUGCUAUCAUGCAGGGAGGAGAUCAGAGCAAAUAUAGGGUGGAGGGGUGGCAAACUCACUUACAUGGAAAAAAAUAAAAAUCCAGAGCAAAGAAGGCACUUGGACAGGGAUUCUUGGGUAAAUGCCCACACAGAAGUAUGGGGUAUGCAUAACAAUCCUUUGUCCACUAAAGAAGUGAGAUUUAACAUUGCUUUUGUCAUGGGCCUGGUGCUCCUAGUGGAGCCAGCAUUUACCUGGUUUUCUGUCUCCCUGUCCAUAUUCCCCUGGAGGUACUGGUCUUACGCUGACAUGGGAGAGCUAUAUCCAACAUCAGUCCUGCCAUAGGGAACUAAGAAUAGAGGAAUGACACUUGGGCUCAAAGGUAUUUUAAAGCUUAGAAAUUCCUGAAGGAUUGCCCAACCCAAGCUUCUCAUUUUAGGAAUAACUGGAGACCAGAGAGGCAAAGUGACUCCUGAGGUCAUGCAGUGAGGUGAUGGCUGAGCCAGGACUAUGUCCCCCAUUGCUGUACCCCCACCCCUCUGUUAAUGAUCCUGUGAAGGGAUGAGUAGACAUACAGACAAAGGGAGUUUCUACGAUGAUAAGUAUUUCUUUUUUCUUUUUUUGAGACGGGGUCUCGCCCUGUCACCCAGGCUGGGGUCCAGGGGUACAAUCAUGGCUCACUGCAGCCUCAACCUCCUGGGCUCAAGUGAUCCUCCUGCUUCAGCCUCCUGAGUAGCUGGGACCACAGGCAUGUGCCACCAUGCCUGGCUAAUUUUCUAAAAUCUUUUUUGUAGAGACAAUGUCUCACUAUGUUGUCCAGGGUGUUCUCAAAUUCCCGGCCUCCAGUGAUCCUCCUGCCCUGGCCUCCCAAAGUGCUGGGAUUACAGGUGUGAGCCCACCAUGCCUGGCCUAAGAUGUUAAGUAUUUAGACUCAGAACACCUCUCUCAGCCAGCCUGAAUCUGGGUCUUGUCCUCAGUUCCCCACAUUAAAUCAUGUCCCUUUCUCCUCUUAGGGCGGCACUGGUGGGACUGGCCACCCACCGCCUCCCCUGCAGCCUCUGUAGUUCUGCUUUCUGUUCCUUUUCGGUGUCUGUCCCCACCACCACAACUGGCCCACCCUCCCUCUUUCCUUCCUUCUGUGUCCUGCUGCGGUCUUCCCACUGGCUCCCUGCAUGCCACCACCUGCUCUGUUGGGGGAGAGAUGGGCAGGGUCUGGCGGCCGGGUAGCCUCCAGAGCAGGAUCAGGGCUGCAGCUGAGGCAGAAUGUCAGACAUGCUGUGAUGCCACCAGCAUCUGCCCCAGGGGCUCUGGUGCUCCUAUUGACUCAGAACUGAGAGGCUGGAUUCAUACUCCCUUUGCCCCAGCCACCACCACAGAGUCCUGUACUGUCCUUCCAGCCAUCCCUUCCCAUUCCCAGACCCCCUGGUCUGGAUCAGCUUUCGUCUUUCCAUGCCUGAGUUCCUAAACACCAACCUCAUCAGCUCCCCAUCUCAGCUUGUCACUGGAGCCUGCGGUGUCCACUAUGGCUGGAGCCCCCACUGGCCGGCAGCACAUCAGAUUUGUGUGAGCGCUCAGCAGAAUCUCCUGUCCCUCUCCAGCCCAGCGCAUUCAUUCUGCACACAUCUGCCUCUAAGCCCUGCUUCUGGGGCUGACACAUAAGCCCCUCUCUCAGAUGAUGGAGGAAGACACACUCCUUCAUCCUUAUUCUCUCACCCAAAUCCUGCUCAUCCUUCAAGGCCCCAUUCGGCCCCACCUCGGGCACAUGGCCUCAUGCAAGUUUUUGGCUGUCACUGGGCACACCUUUCUCUGAACUUUCCCCGCUCCUGGCAAUGAUUCCAGGUGUGGGGACAUUUCUCAGAAAACUACAUGGCCCUGAGUUUUCCCAGUCUCAUGUGGUCAUUCUUCUGGCCCUUAGUCUUUAUUUGUAUUAUGAAGUGUGGCUUGGUGAGAAGACCUUGGACUCUGAGGUCCUUUAGGCCUGGGUUGGAAUCCUGGCUUUGCUCCCUAAGCACUGUGUGAACUUGGAACAGUUUUGUAAUUUGAGUGAGCCUCCAAUUUCUGACCUGGGGAUAAGAAUACCUAUCCUUUAGAUUGUUCUGAGAAUUGCAGAGACUGUAAAUUCAUUGUAAUAGCUAACAUUCAUUGAGCCCUUUACUCUAUGUCAGAUACUCUUCUAAGCACGAUUAAUAAUGUCCAUUUUAGCAAAGGGGAAGCUGAGGCCCAGAGGUGAAGCAAUUCAGCUAAGAUCUCACUCCUAGAAAAUGGCAGAAUAAGGAUUCUAAGUUAGGCAGUCUGACCCCAGAGCUUAAGCCCAAAUGUGGGCCGCUGUGGCCAUUCUCACAUCUCCUUGUGUCUGGUGCUGUGCCCACAGGCUGGGGAGGGCUACAUGAAUCUUAAAACCUGGGUCAGGCAAAGGGAGGAGUCCCUCUAUUGUGUGGCAUGGGAUUAUGACAUGGUAAAUGGAGCAUAAGCCCCAAACCAGGUAAACCACACCAUAGGAAAGGCUUUAACUGACAAGAGGGCCCGCCCAGGAUCUCAGCUUCCUGGCAGAGACCAUGGAAUCACACAAACAAAAUCAAUCCACCUGGCCCACAUGAAGCUUGAACUUCUCCCCCAAAUUUUACUCACUACAAUAGAGGCUUUCUUGGAUCCAUGCCUUUGUGGUAGCCAUAGUGUGUGAUUGACGUGGGAGUAAAUUAGAAUCAGUGGUGUUUUGAGUGUUAAUUGAGGCAUUCUUUGCAAUGCUCAAGAUGACGGUAACAUUACUAAAGCAUUACUGUGUGCCAGGCUUUGCUAAGAGCUUCAGAUGUAUUUUAUUAUUUGAUUCUCACAAAAAUAUGAUACAGGCACUGUUCUUAUCCUUGCUUUACGGGUGAGGAAAUGAAGCUUUAAACAAUAUUAAAUUAUUGGUCCAAGACCAAGCAGCUUGUAAAGGUCAGAGCCAGGAUUUGAACCUAGAAAGCCUGGCUCUAAACUACCACCUGUGCACUUUGGGAAGCUCCCUGAGAUACUGGAAAACUGACUACUGUUUUGGACCUAAUACCUCGGACUCCCAUGCUUUUUAGUCUUGGCAAUUGCCUGCAAGACUGUAACUUUAUGAAUAUGAUGCUGUGAGUUGCACUUGGGACCUGAAGUAGAUAGUCUAGCUAGGAAUCGAUGGGGCACCAACAAACAACCUCUAUCCCAUACUGUAUGAUGCUUUUCUCUCUUUUCUGUCUCCAUGUGCCAAGAUGUCUGGAUUGGGUCAUUCUCGUUUCACCAAGGUUUUAUCUAAGUGCUCAGCAGAGGGCUAAGUGGCUCAGAUGAGAUUUCAGCUGCAGGAGCCAACACAGCCUGGCUUCCAACCCAGCUCCCAAACUCACUAGCCAAGUAGCCUCAGGCAGGUUUUACAACCUCUUUCAAAACCAAGUUUCUCCACUGUAAAAUAGAGAUAAAAAUAACACCUACCACAUAGUGCUGUUAUAAGAAUACACUUUUAUAACACUUAGCCUGGCACCCAGCACAUAGGAAGUGUUCAGUAAAUGGAAUCUAUUGUUGCUAUCCUAAUGUUCCUUUGUUUGAGUCAUUUAUUAGUUCACACAUUUAUUAAUACAUUAAUUACAAAUGCAAAAUUCUGUCCAGAUGCAAAGAUAAAUUAGAUAGGCCUUAUUUUCAGUACAGAGAGACAUGAACAACUUAAUCACAGCACAGGACAGAACGAAGUACAUGUGACAUCACGGUGCCACCAGCUUCCAAGAGGGCCCAGAAAAAGAAGUGAUUGAUUAUGACAAGAGACUGUGGUAGACUUUGUGGAGGAGGAGUGAUAGGGAUUUCCAUGGAAGAAAGAAGAUGGGCUGCAGGAACGGCACGAGCAGAGCAGAGAAUCAGCAAAGUGCACAACGGGAGGAGGAAGCUGUCUGGUGUUACUGUUAGUGAGCGUGGGAGCCUGCCGCAAGAAGUCGGUGGUGGGACAGAAGGCAGAGGCAUUGGAAUGUGUUGCCACAGAACCUCUACUUGAUUCCAUAGGGAGUCACUGAUGACUCUUAAGGAAAGGAACAGCAUAAUCCAAACUUUAUUUUAAUAAAAUAACUACAAACGGUAGGAUGGAUGGAUUGGAGAAGAAAGAUAAUGGAGACAGGGACACUAGUUAGAUGGCUAAUGCACUACUUUCACCAGUGACUGAUCAUAAAAUAGGCCCCCACUCACUGAGAAAGGGUGGAGCAAAUGCAGUUAUCCAGGCAGGGAAGUGGGUUUCAUAAAGGCAUUUUAUAAGGGUUUCUAUUUAAAUGGUUGUUACAAAAACUCUUGCCAUCUUAAGUGUUGAUCUUCAGUGAUCCCCAGACUUAAGGUAUUAGAAACACAUUGACCAGAUGCAGUGGCUUAUGCCUGUAAUCCCAGCACUUUUGAAGGCAGAGGCAGGUGAGUCAUUUGAACCCAGGAGUUCAAGACCAGCCUGGGCAACAUGGCAAAACCCCAUCUCUACAAAAAAUACAAAAGUUAGCUGGGCAUGGUGGCACGUGCCAGUUACUCAGGAGGCUGAGGUAGCAGGAUCGCUUGCACCAAGGAGGUUGAGGCUGCAGUAAGCCAUGAUUGUGCCACUGCACUCCCACCUGGGCAACACAGUGAGACUCUGUCUCAAAAAAAAAAAAAAAGACUAGAAAAGAAAAAGAAACAUACUCCCCCAUUGUGCCAGGUAAUCAUAUUGGGAAGAGGAUUUAUUCACCCAAUCUUCUAGAGUUUCUUGGCCAACCCCAGUGAUUGCAGUACACUCUAAUUCAGCAUUAGUCAACCCAAAGAAUAAUGUAAGAAUUCUUUUCUGUUCACGUCAAAGUGUGACCCAUGUUUGGCUUGUAGAGUGAGGCUCUUUCUUAGCACCUAUCAUGUUUUUCCCAAAAGAGGGUGCUGCUGCCGCCAUUGCUUAAAAUGUGGCCACUCCGAUCCCACAGUAUCCUUCCUGACCCCAUUUCACCUCUGCAAUUCCUUGCUGGUGCCUCUGGAGACCCCAAAUGUUUGACUCUCUGGAGUCCGGUGGUCUGCUGUGGCAGGGGUAGAAAUAGCAAAAACAUAAAAAUAAAACUAGAAAAUGUUCUGUUGAGGUUCUGGGAAAUUUAGGAACAUCCACUGGAUCCUCUGUGGCAGUGGCUGCUCAGCGGGGCAGGAGGGAGCUGGGACCCUCUGUGGUGCUGUCAUGGAGCCACUCUGCCACAUGGGCCUGUGUCUGCUUGAUUCCUACACAGCAGAGUGAAUCCCAUUUAACCUCUAAGGUCAGUUUAUGUGAUAGGCUAGAUGCUAAGUUUCUCAUACUCUAAAUGUGUUUUGGAGGGAAAGGGGUCAAAUAUUCGCCUGGGCUGUCAUAAUUCAGACUUAUUUUAUUCUACAAGCUCAUAAACUACUUAAGGGCCACAACCUGUCAUAUCCAUUUUUCUAUGCCCAUGCAGAGCCCAGGACGGCACCUCCUGCCCCUGGAGCGAGGCAGCACCAUGUGGGGGCUCAGCGCAUGCCCGUGGAAGGCAACCUGUAGGGUUCAACUCCUGGCUCUGCCAUUUAUUACACUAUCUGACCUUGGGCAUGUGACUUAUCUGCUCUAGGCCUCAGUUUCCUCACAAGGUUUAGGUGAUUUUUUUUUUUUUUUU
This is a long non-coding RNA of Homo sapiens (human), 6745 nucleotides long. RefSeq lists it as uncharacterized. The record is from RefSeq and is a predicted model, not a curated record. NCBI's taxonomy places the organism in Eukaryota, Metazoa, Chordata, Mammalia, Primates, Hominidae. The transcript is spliced from 3 exons.